RNAcentral lists this transfer RNA (72 nucleotides) under Caudoviricetes sp. RNAcentral's name for it is "tRNA-Gln". It matches the Rfam family "tRNA". From Rfam's summary of the family: Transfer RNA (tRNA) molecules are approximately 80 nucleotides in length. Their secondary structure includes four short double-helical elements and three loops (D, anti-codon, and T loops). The record is from RNAcentral. Lineage: Duplodnaviria; Heunggongvirae; Uroviricota; Caudoviricetes.
UGAGCUAUGGUGUAAUGGUUAACACACCUCCCUUUGGAGGCGGUACUCCCGGUUCGAAUCCGGGUAGCUCAA